This 497-nucleotide ribosomal RNA is filed under the name uncultured bacterium. Its description in RNAcentral is "partial 16S ribosomal RNA". It matches the Rfam family "Bacterial small subunit ribosomal RNA", at positions 28 to 507 of the family's 1533-position model. The record is from RNAcentral.
GAUGAACGCUGGCGGCGUGCCUAAUACAUGCAAGUCGAGCGAACAGACGAGGAGCUUGCUCCUCUGACGUUAGCGGCGGACGGGUGAGUAACACGUGGAUAACCUACCUAUAAGACUGGGAUAACUUCGGGAAACCGGAGCUAAUACCGGAUAAUAUAUUGAACCGCAUGGUUCAAUAGUGAAAGACGGUUUUCCUGUCACUUAUAGAUGAAUCCGCGCCGCAUUAGCUAGUUGGUAAGGUAACGGCUUACCAAGGCGACGAUGCGUAGCCGACCUGAGAGGGUGAUCGGCCACACUGGAACUGAGACACGGUCCAGACUCCUACGGGAGGCAGCAGUAGGGAAUCUUCCGCAAAGGGCGAAAGCCUGACGGAGCAACGCCGCGUGAGUGAUGAAGGUCUUCGGAUCGUAAAACUCUGUUAUUAGGGAAGAACAAAUGUGUAAGUAACUAUGCACGUCUUGACGGUACCUAAUCAGAAAGCCACGGCUAACUACGUG